AGAGUUUGAUCGUGGCUCAGAGCGAACGCUGGCGGCAGGCUUAACACAUGCAAGUCGAGCGGGCGUAGCAAUACGUCAGCGGCAGACGGGUGAGUAACGCGUGGGAACGUACCUUUUGGUUCGGAACAACACAGGGAAACUUGUGCUAAUACCGGAUAAGCCCUUACGGGGAAAGAUUUAUCGCCGAAAGAUCGGCCCGCGUCUGAUUAGCUAGUUGGUAGGGUAAUGGCCUACCAAGGCGACGAUCAGUAGCUGGUCUGAGAGGAUGAUCAGCCACAUUGGGACUGAGACACGGCCCAAACUCCUACGGGAGGCAGCAGUGGGGAAUAUUGGACAAUGGGGGCAACCCUGAUCCAGCCAUGCCGCGUGAGUGAUGAAGGCCCUAGGGUUGUAAAGCUCUUUUGUGCGGGAAGAUAAUGACGGUACCGCAAGAA
Molecule: ribosomal RNA, 434 nt
Filed under: uncultured organism
Description: bacterial SSU rRNA
Rfam family: Bacterial small subunit ribosomal RNA
Source: RNAcentral